CCCUUAGAUGUUCUGGGCCGCACGCGCGCUACACUGAUGCAUUCAACGAGUCUAAAACCUGCUCUGAUAGGGGUGGGUAAUCUUUUGAAUGUGCAUCGUGAUUGGGAUAGAUGAUUGCAGUUUUUCAUCUUCAACGAGGAAUGCCUAGUAAACGCAAGUCAUCAGCUUGCAUUGAUUACGUCCCUGCCCUUUGUACACACCGCCCGUCGCUCCUACCGAUUGAAUGAUCCGAUGAAUAUCAUGGAUUGAGGAUUAUAGCAGGUUCGCCUGUCUUGAUCUUCGAGAAGUGAAGUAAAUCUUAUCAUUUAGAGGAAGGAGAAGUCGUAACA
RNAcentral lists this ribosomal RNA (329 nucleotides) under uncultured eukaryote. RNAcentral's name for it is "partial 18S ribosomal RNA". It matches the Rfam family "Eukaryotic small subunit ribosomal RNA", at positions 1470 to 1796 of the family's 1831-position model. The record is from RNAcentral.